Molecule: ribosomal RNA, 778 nt
Filed under: uncultured bacterium
Lineage: Bacteria
Description: bacterial SSU rRNA
Rfam family: Bacterial small subunit ribosomal RNA
Source: RNAcentral
AGAGUUUGAUCAUGGCUCAGAAUCAACGCUGGCGGCGUGCCUCAGACAUGCAAGUCGAACGAUUAAACUUUCCUUCGGGAAAGAUAUAAAGUGGCGCACGGGUGAGUAACACGUAAGUAAUCUACCUUCGAGUGGGGAAUAACGUCCGGAAACGGACGCUAAUACCGCAUAAUGCAGCGGCAUCGAAAGAUGACAGUUGUUAAAGGAGCAAUUCGCUUGAAGAGGAGCUUGCGGCAGAUUAGCUAGUUGGUAAGGUAAUGGCUUACCAAGGCUUCGAUCUGUAUCCGGUCUAAGAGGACGGUCGGACACACUGACACUGAAUAACGGGUCAGACUCCUACGGGAGGCAGCAGUCGGGAAUUUUGGGCAAUGGGCGAAAGCCUGACCCAGCAACGCCGCGUGAAGGAUGAAGUAUUUCGGUAUGUAAACUUCGAAAGAAUGGGAAGAACUCAAUGACGGUACCAUUUAUAAGCUCCGGCUAACUACGUGCCAGCAGCCGCGGUAAUACGUAGGGAGCAAGCGUUGUUCGGAUUUACUGGGCGUAAAGGGCGCGUAGGCGGCAAAUUAAGUCAGCUGUGAAAUCUCCGAGCUUAACUCGGAACUGUCAGCUGAUACUGAUCUGCUUGAGUGCGGAAGGGGCAAUCGGAAUUCUUGGUGUAGCGGUGAAAUGCGUAGAUAUCAAGAGGAACACCUGAGGUGAAGACGGGUUGCUGGGCCGACACUGACGCUGACAGCGCGAAAGCCAGGGGAGCAAACGGGAUUAGAUACCCCAGUAGUCC